GGGAAGCAAGGGGGUAGGUCGAAAUCUUUUGAGAGACACCUAGAGAUUUAGUGAUAGCUUUGAAAUAAUCGGCUUCUCUCACCCUGGCAUGCUUUCUUUUUAUCCUUCUCCUCAUCUUUCUCCAAUUUUGUUAAGAGAAAAUUUUAGGCCUGGGGUAUGUCUUGGUGUGUGGAGAAAGGCUGAAAUCCCGGGAUGGAGACAACAGAAAUUUAGAGAUCAUUUGAAAAUAGUUCACCUCACUCAAUGCCGGCCUGUGGUGGUGGGGUGGGGCGCGGGACGGGGCGAAGGAGGGAGACGCGGGCCUUGCAAGGCCCAGGCCUGAGGGUGAGGAGUGGGGAGUGGAAACGGAAAUCCUGAAGGAAAGGAUAUAGACAGGAAGGAGGGGCCAGGAGGUAGAAAUCCGGGGGGCGAUGACGGUGAUAAUGAGAAUCCCAGGUUCAAAAUAAUAACGUCUGUCUUGUCUCUGGAGCUGGUUGAUCCACAGAUAGCUCCUUCCUCCCCGCCCCUUCCUUUUUGUUUGCAGGUCCCAGAAUCUGUGUUCACAGACAUCUGGGGGAAGAAAAGGAGCAGGAAACUACCCCGCACAGAGUUAAGCAGGAAACAACAACAACAUCAUGCAAAAACCCUGCAAAGAAAACGAAGGAAAGCCAAAGUGCAGCGUGCCAAAGAGGGAGGAAAAACGCCCGUAUGGAGAAUUUGAACGCCAGCAAACAGAAGGGAAUUUUAGACAGAGGCUGCUUCAGUCUCUCGAAGAAUUUAAAGAGGACAUAGACUAUAGGCAUUUUAAAGAUGAAGAAAUGACAAGGGAGGGAGAUGAGAUGGAAAGGUGUUUGGAAGAGAUAAGGGGUCUGAGAAAGAAAUUUAGGGCUCUGCAUUCUAACCAUAGGCAUUCUCGGGACCGUCCUUAUCCCAUUUAAUUAAUUUCUCUGACAAUUCAAUUAUUUUCUGUUAUUAAUGUUGCCACUGCUUUCUGUUUGUCUGCACUUUCUUGAUAAAUAUUUGCUAUCGUUUUACUCCAGUCAUUCGAUGUUGCUGAGAUUUACAUAUGACUCUUGUCAACAUCUCAUCUUUUGACCCAAUCUUAUUCAUUUAAUAAGAGGUCUCAUUCAUUUGCAUGGAAAAAUGCUCAUUGUAUAUUGCAAAGUGAAAAUAACGAGUUGCAAAACAGUGUAUACAUAUAUGUGUGUAUAUAUGUACACUUUAUUUGUACAUUUCUAUGUGACAUAAUGCAAAGGAAAGUGUCUGCCUUUAUUAUACACCAAAGGUUAACAGUGAAUCUCUGUGUGAUCUCUUUUUUUUUCUUUUUGCCUAUCUGCAUCUUCUCACUUGCCAAAAAAUGAAUAUAUGUUUAUGUGUGUAUAUUACUUGUCUCACAAAAAACCCUAAAGUAGACAGUAAAAGAACUUGUCAAUCGCCUUUGGAAGGCAAUGAAACACUUAAUAAACUCUCAAUAACAGAAGCGUAAAAAUGAAAUGUAA
This 1478-nucleotide long non-coding RNA is filed under the name Pan troglodytes (chimpanzee). Its description in RNAcentral is "long non-coding RNA NONPTRT018336". The record is from RNAcentral. Lineage: Eukaryota; Metazoa; Chordata; Mammalia; Primates; Hominidae.